Molecule: ribosomal RNA, 704 nt
Filed under: uncultured bacterium
Lineage: Bacteria
Description: bacterial SSU rRNA
Rfam family: Bacterial small subunit ribosomal RNA
Source: RNAcentral
UGCAAGUCGACGAGAAAGUUCCUUCGGGAACGAGUACAGUGGCGCACGGGUGAGUAACACGUGAAUAAUCUGCCCUUAAGUAGGGGACAACUCCGCGAAAGCGGAGCUAAUACCGUAUGAGACCACAGAAUCUUCGGAUUCAGGGGUCAAAGGUUGCCUCUCCAUGGAAGCAAUCACUUAAGGAUGAGUUCACGGCCCAUCAGCUUGUUGGUAAGGUAACGGCUUACCAAGGCUUAGACGGGUAGCUGGUCUGAGAGGAUGAUCAGCCACACUGGGACUGAGACACGGCCCAGACUCCUACGGGAGGCAGCAGUGGGGAAUAUUGGACAAUGGGCGCAAGCCUGAUCCAGCCACGCCGCGUGAGUGAUGAAGGUUUUCGGAUCGUAAAACCCUGUCCUGAGGGAAGAACAUCCUAGGUUCAAAUAGGUCCUAGGCUUGACGGUACCUCUGGAGGAAGCACCGGCUAACUCCGUGCCAGCAGCCGCGGUAAAACGGAGGGUGCAAACGUUGCUCGGAAUUACUGGGCGUAAAGCGCAUGCAGGCGGAUUGCUAAGUUUCGUGUGAAAGCCCUGGGCUCAACCCAGGAAGUGCACGGAAAACUGGCAGACUAGAGUACUGGAGAAGUGGGCGGAAUUCCGGGUGUAGAGGUGAAAUUCGUAGAUAUCCGGAGGAACACCAGCAGCGAAAGCGGCUCACUAGACAGA